GACGAACGCUGGCGGCGUGCUUAACACAUGCAAGUCGAACGGAAAGGCCCUGCUUUCGUGGGGUUCUCGAGUGGCGAACGGGUGAGUAACACGUGAGUAACCGGCCCUUGACUUUGGGGUAACUUAAGGAAACUGGGGCUAAUACCGGAUAGGAGCUCCUGCUGCAUGGUGGGGGUUGGAAAGUUUCGGCGGUUGUGGAUGGACUGGCGGCUUAUCAACUUGUUAGUGGGGUAGUGGCUGACCAAGGCUUUGACGGGUAGCCGGCCUGGGAGCGUGGCCGGCGACCAUAGUACUGCGGUACGGCCCAGUCUCCUACGGGAGGCAGCAGUGGGGAGUAUUGCACAGUGGGCGGGCGCCUGAUGCAGCGGCGCCGCGUGCGGGAUGACGGCCUUCGGGUUGUAAACCGCUUUCGCCUGUGACGAAGCGUUAGUGACGGUAAUGGGUAAAGAAGCACCGGCUAACUACGUG
RNAcentral lists this ribosomal RNA (468 nucleotides) under uncultured bacterium. Its description in RNAcentral is "partial 16S ribosomal RNA". It matches the Rfam family "Bacterial small subunit ribosomal RNA", at positions 28 to 507 of the family's 1533-position model. The record is from RNAcentral.